CUCUGCUAGAUUGCAAAUGACCUACUUUCUUUCUGAUCCUGGGCUGCGUUCCCACCCCUGUCAGAUAGUAAAUCCCAAGUAAGGUACCUGCUUUCAGCAGAUCUGAGCUUUCUUCUUGGACACCUAAAACCCACAGUCCUCCAGGUGUGGUGGACCUCAGUUUUGAGGCUGAGAGUCCUCUGGCGCCCCCUACAGAGCUCCUGGAGAGACUGCCCAGCUAUGACUGGCUUCUUCAAGGGGGCAGAGGACAGAUAUUCUUCCCGCCUUUGGAGGCCCCAGGGAGGCCCCAGGAGCAAAGGUCCUGGCCCUCGUUCCUGGAACACAGAGUCCCUGCGAUGACGGAGGAGGUGGCCCAGGAAGCCCUCCUCAGCUUUGUGGACUCUAAGUGCUGCUACAGCAGCACGGUGGCUGGAGACCUCGUCAUCCAGGAGAUGAAGCAGCAGACCCUCUGCAGGUACCGUCUGGAGACCUUUAGUGAAUCCAGGAUAA
Molecule: small RNA, 489 nt
Filed under: Pan troglodytes (chimpanzee)
Lineage: Eukaryota; Metazoa; Chordata; Mammalia; Primates; Hominidae
Description: processed transcript
Source: RNAcentral